ACUAUAAUGUGACGGUUAUAGACGUAUAUGAAAGGGCAUUGAUAUACUGUCUAAUACAAUACAGAUUGAAUAAUAUUUAUAAACAGUACGCCUUUCGUCAAUAUUGCAGGUAAUAACUAUACUAUAUUUUGAUUAAUUUGACGUGUAGCUCGCCGCGAGAUGAACCGGUCGGGAUUACUGCUAUUACACGCUCCGUAAUUCAGUGUCGGUUUUUUAUGAACAUCGCCAAAUGAAGUCAACGCGCGGGCACAGGCACAAUAACACCGCUGCGGCAGCCGCCGUAGUUGUCGUAAGCGCGGGGCUCGUAGGCGAAUGACAAAACGAGAGGUGCGGGCGACCUGAAUGCAUAUGAUGAGUUAUGUGUGUAAGCGUACAAUUCUUGUUGUUCACGCUGAUUCGGCCUUGUGCCAUCUUCACAGUUUUAACACUCACUAUGCAAUAUAAUACUAUACUGCAGUCUACAGAAUUGUAUAAUCGAAACACGGACAAGAAAAACGGCCCAGAUCACCUAAAGAUAGUUAAGGCUUUUACACAGAAUUUUUUUUUUUGAACGUGGUUUUCAAAUCAAGAGGACAACAACCUUUUUCUUUUCAGUUUUUCAAUUCUAAUUCAUCAUAUACAAUACGCUGUAGUUGAACGAAAUGAAAUUACUGAACAAUUAUUAUUUUAACAAUUUAGUUAAGAUAUACAAUUGCCAAUUUGUCACGUAUGCGUACAAUUAACGUGUCCCUAAUUAACUUUGUAUAGAUUUUGAUUAUUAUAAUUAAUAUCAAAACUUCUUUUUUUAUACAGUGCGAAGUAAGUAGUUUUUAUUUUUAAAGACGACUUUAUCUUGUAAUAAAUCAGAUCCAAAAAUGACAAAUUACACUGAGAAAUUUCAAUAGAAAUGCGCUAACUGAGAUUAGAUAAAUAAUGAAAAUGUAGAAUUAAAAUCGUACGACAUGUGACAAAAUACCAUUAUGUUCAACCUAUAGUGGAUACUGGAUAGUGUAAUGGAUGAACUUUGAACUUCUUAUGUUUCAAUUAUGUUAUAAAUUAGAUAUUAUAUUUGCGCGUCUUCUUUCAAU
Long non-coding RNA from Metopolophium dirhodum (rose-grain aphid), 1067 nucleotides. RefSeq lists it as uncharacterized. NCBI's taxonomy places the organism in Eukaryota, Metazoa, Arthropoda, Insecta, Hemiptera, Aphididae. The record is from RefSeq and is a predicted model, not a curated record. The transcript is spliced from 3 exons.